GCCGGUUUCCCUAGAUGAUCUUCACCGGUUGUCCUGGGUGACCGGCACGUUUACUUUGAAAAAAUUAGAGUGCUCAAAGCAGGCGUGUAGCCUGAAUAAUGGUGCAUGGAAUAAUGGAAUAGGACUUCGUUUCUAUUUUGUUGGUUUUCGGAACACGAGGUAAUGAUUAAGAGGGACAGACGGGGGCAUUCGUAUUGCGACGCUAGAGGUGAAAUUCUUGGACCGUCGCAAGACGAACUACUGCGAAAGCAUUUGCCAAGAAUGUUUUCAUUGAUCAAGAACGAAAGUUAGAGGUUCGAAGGCGAUCAGAUACCGCCCUAGUUCUAACCAUAAACGAUGCCAUCUAGCGAUCCGCCUGAGUUCCUCAAAUGACUCGGCGGGCAGCUUCCGGGAAACCAAAGUGUUUGGGUUCCGGGGGAAGUAUGGUUGCAAAGCUGAAACUUAAAGGAAUUGACGGAAGGGCACCACCAGGAGUGGAGCCUGCGGCUUAAUUUGACUCAACACGGGAAAACUUACCCGGCCCGGACACUGGAAGGAUUGACAGAUUAAGAGCUCUUUCUUGAUUCAGUGGGUGGUGGUGCAUGGCCGUUCUUAGUUGGUGGAGCGAUUUGUCUGGUUAAUUCCGAUAACGAACGAGACUCUAGCCUACUAAAUAGGCGUCCCGAUCACUUUUGUCGGGCGUUCUUCUUAGAGGGACAAGUGGCGUUUAGCCGCACGAGACAGAGCAAUAACAGGUCUGUGAUGCCCUUAGAUGUCCGGGGCCGCACGCGCGCUACACUGAAGGAAUCAACGUGUGCUUUCCCUGUCCGGUAGGACUGGGUAACCCGUUCAACCUCCUUCGUGAUAGGGAUAGGGGCUUGUAAUUGUUCCCCUUGAACGAGGAAUUCCCAGUAAGCACGAGUCAUAAGCUCGUGUUGAUUACGUCCCUGCCCUUUGUACACACCGCCCGUCGCUACUACCGAUUGAAUGAUUUAGUGAGGUCUUCGGACUGGCGCUCGGAGCAACCGCAAGGUCGCGC
RNAcentral lists this ribosomal RNA (1018 nucleotides) under Pelinobius muticus (king baboon spider). Its description in RNAcentral is "SSU rRNA". It matches the Rfam family "Eukaryotic small subunit ribosomal RNA", at positions 702 to 1740 of the family's 1831-position model. Lineage: Eukaryota; Metazoa; Arthropoda; Arachnida; Araneae; Theraphosidae. The record is from RNAcentral.